Molecule: ribosomal RNA, 954 nt
Filed under: uncultured Helotiales
Lineage: Eukaryota; Fungi; Ascomycota; Leotiomycetes; Helotiales
Description: eukaryotic LSU rRNA
Rfam family: Eukaryotic large subunit ribosomal RNA (bases 476-954)
Source: RNAcentral
CAGAGUUCAUGCCCUACCGGGUAGAUCUCCCACCCUAUGUUAUUAUUACUUUGUUGCUUUGGCGGGCCGUCAGGCUCCGGCCCGACUACCGGCCCCGGCUGGUAAGCGCCCGCCAGAGGACCCAAAACCCUGAAUAUUAGUGUCGUCUGAGUACUAUAUAAUAGUUAAAACUUUCAACAACGGAUCUCUUGGUUCUGGCAUCGAUGAAGAACGCAGCGAAAUGCGAUAAGUAAUGUGAAUUGCAGAAUUCAGUGAAUCAUCGAAUCUUUGAACGCACAUUGCGCCCCUUGGUAUUCCGGGGGGCAUGCCUGUUCGAGCGUCAUUACAACCCUCAAGCCUGGCUUGGUAUUGGGCUUCGCCACUAACCUGGCGGGCCUUAAAAUCAGUGGCGGUGCCUCCGAGGCCCUGAGCGCAGUAAAUAUCCUCGCUAUAGGGACCCGGUGGUUACUGGCCAGCAACCCCAACUUUCUAAGUUUGACCUCGGAUCAGGUAGGGAUACCCGCUGAACUUAAGCAUAUCAAUAAGCGGAGGAAAAGAAACCAACAGGGAUUGCCUCAGUAACGGCGAGUGAAGCGGCAACAGCUCAAAUUUGAAAUCUGGCUCUUUCAGGGUCCGAGUUGUAAUUUGUAGAAGAUGCUUUGGGUGUGGCUCCGGUCUAAGUUCCUUGGAACAGGACGUCAUAGAGGGUGAGAAUCCCGUAUGUGACUGGCCGCCUUCGCCCGUGUAAAGCUCUUUCGACGAGUCGAGUUGUUUGGGAAUGCAGCUCAAAAUGGGUGGUAAAUUUCAUCUAAAGCUAAAUAUUGGCCAGAGACCGAUAGCGCACAAGUAGAGUGAUCGAAAGAUGAAAAGCACUUUGGAAAGAGAGUUAAACAGUACGUGAAAUUGUUGAAAGGGAAGCGCUUGCAACCAGACUUGCGCGCAGUUAAUCAUCUGGUGUUCUCACUGGUGCACUUU